AAAAUUAUUAAUAAACCCCUAAAAAUUUUUAAAAUAUUGAGGCCUAGUGCCCAAUCAAAAUUUGAUAAGUAAUAGUAAAAAAAAAAAAAAUUUUUUUGAGAAACUACUACUAUGUCUAUACCCCUACAAAAUUUUAAGUCCUAUUAAAAUUUUAUUGGGGCCAGUGCCCACAUAAUUUAUAUGGCAAUAGUAAAAAAUACUAAUAUUUUUGAUAAAUUAUCACUGUCACGACCCAACUUAUGGGCCAGACCAGCACUAAAACCUG
This 265-nucleotide unclassified non-coding RNA is filed under the name Hevea brasiliensis (rubber tree). The record is from RNAcentral. Lineage: Eukaryota; Viridiplantae; Streptophyta; Magnoliopsida; Malpighiales; Euphorbiaceae.